Molecule: ribosomal RNA, 524 nt
Filed under: uncultured bacterium
Lineage: Bacteria
Description: bacterial SSU rRNA
Rfam family: Bacterial small subunit ribosomal RNA
Source: RNAcentral
AGAGUUUGAUCAUGGCUCAGGACGAACGCUGGCGGCGUGCUUAACACAUGCAAGUCGAGCGGUAAGGCCCUUUCGGGGGUACACGAGCGGCGAACGGGUGAGUAACACGUGGGUGACCUGCCUUCAGCUCUGGGAUAAGCCUGGGAAACUGGGUCUAAUACCGGAUAUGACUCCAUGAUGCAUGUUGUGGGGUGGAAAGCGUUUUAGCGGCUGGGGAUGGGCCCGCGGCCUAUCAGCUUGUUGGUGGGGUGAUGGCCUACCAAGGCGACGACGGGUAGCCGGCCUGAGAGGGCGACCGGCCACACUGGGACUGAGACACGGCCCAGACUCCUACGGGAGGCAGCAGUGGGGAAUUGUUCACAAUGGGCGCAAGCCUGAUGACGCAACGCCGCGUGGAGGAUGAAGGUCUUCGGAUUGUAAACUCCUGUUGCCCGGGACGAAAAGCUCUGACCUAACACGUCGGAGUCUGACGGUACCGGGUGAGGAAGCCCCGGCUAACUCUGUGCCAGCAGCGGCGGUAAUUC